AUAAAUGUAGAUUAAAAAAAUCAUUGAUCUGUGAAUUCAAUAAUGCAAAAGCCGUUUAUA
RNAcentral lists this transfer RNA (60 nucleotides) under Endomyzostoma sp. MZ-2009. RNAcentral's name for it is "tRNA-His". Lineage: Eukaryota; Metazoa; Annelida; Myzostomida; Endomyzostomatidae. The record is from RNAcentral.